This 73-nucleotide transfer RNA is filed under the name Candidatus Magasanikbacteria bacterium RIFCSPHIGHO2_02_FULL_51_14. Its description in RNAcentral is "tRNA-Thr". It matches the Rfam family "tRNA". From Rfam's summary of the family: Transfer RNA (tRNA) molecules are approximately 80 nucleotides in length. Their secondary structure includes four short double-helical elements and three loops (D, anti-codon, and T loops). Further hydrogen bonds mediate the characteristic L-shaped molecular structure. tRNAs have two regions of fundamental functional importance: the anti-codon, which is responsible for specific mRNA codon recognition, and the 3' end, to which the tRNAs corresponding amino acid is attached (by aminoacyl-tRNA synthetases). tRNAs cope with the degeneracy of the genetic code in two manners: having more than one tRNA (with a specific anti-codon) for a particular amino acid; and 'wobble' base-pairing, i.e. permitting non-standard base-pairing at the 3rd anti-codon position. Lineage: Bacteria; Candidatus Magasanikiibacteriota. The record is from RNAcentral.
GCCGAAGUAGCUCAGUCGGUAGAGCGACGCAUUCGUAACGCGUAGGUCGCGGGUUCGAUCCCCGCCUUCGGCU